Molecule: long non-coding RNA, 503 nt
Filed under: Numida meleagris (helmeted guineafowl)
Lineage: Eukaryota; Metazoa; Chordata; Aves; Galliformes; Numididae
Description: lncRNA (ENSNMEG00000011035.1)
Source: RNAcentral
UUUUUUUUCCUAAAAGCAGUGACAGAAUUCCCAUUGACCCGAACAGGAAUUGGAAUUAACACUCUGUUUCUCUGUAACUUAUGUUUUCAGACCAUUUACAAGUGGGGACUUCUUUUCUUGGUCAGCGUGGUAGGAACUUGUCAGAACAUCAUGGAGAUGUAUGAAGUAACUGCAGAUUAAUGUGACUGAAAAUGAGAGAAUUUGAUCUGCUGUCUGUUGGAGAGGGAAGCUGAAAUAAUGAGACCAGAGUGCAAAGGGACCAACAGAAAUGGAAGAAGGACUGCUAUUUGGAAACAGCACAAUCUUCACCUACCAAGUGGCUUUGGUUUCGAGCCUGUGUGGCUUUGUGUGUGUCACCAGUUUCUACAUCAGCUGGUUUCUGGUCUUUGUUGAGAAAUACACAUGAAACAGACUUACUGCUGUUCCUGUGAGAAGCCCAGCUAACUUGCAACCUUGAUAAAGGAGCCAAAGGCUUGGGAAGAUAUCACUGUGCACAAGAGAGC